This 332-nucleotide ribosomal RNA is filed under the name uncultured eukaryote. RNAcentral's name for it is "partial 18S ribosomal RNA". It matches the Rfam family "Eukaryotic small subunit ribosomal RNA", at positions 1470 to 1796 of the family's 1831-position model. The record is from RNAcentral.
CCCUUAGAUGUCCUGGGCUGCACGCGCGCUACACUGGAAGUUACGGAUUGAGAUACUACCUUGUCCGAAAUGGUCCGGGUAAUCACCUAAAAGCUUGUCAUAAUUGGAAUGGAUUAUUGUAACUAGUAAUCCUGAACGAGGAAUUCCUAGUAAGUCCCAGUCAACAGCUGGUACUGAUUACGUCCCUGCCCUUUGUACACACCGCCCGUCGCUACUACUGAUUGGACGUUUAAGCAAGAUUUUUAAACACUGACAGUGUGUGGUUCACGCUAUACUACAGUGAGAAGAAGAAGAUCGAGCUUACUUGUCUAGAGGAAGUAAAAGUCGUAACA